CGCGGGGUGGAGCAGUUCGGUAGCUCGUCGGGCUCAUAACCCGAAGGUCGCAGGUUCAAAUCCUGCCCCCGCUACCA
RNAcentral lists this transfer RNA (77 nucleotides) under Syntrophotalea acetylenica. RNAcentral's name for it is "Pelobacter acetylenicus tRNA-Met". It matches the Rfam family "tRNA". From Rfam's summary of the family: Transfer RNA (tRNA) molecules are approximately 80 nucleotides in length. Their secondary structure includes four short double-helical elements and three loops (D, anti-codon, and T loops). The record is from RNAcentral. RNAcentral also lists the same sequence under 15 other names. Lineage: Bacteria; Pseudomonadati; Thermodesulfobacteriota; Desulfuromonadia; Desulfuromonadales; Syntrophotaleaceae.